RNAcentral lists this long non-coding RNA (240 nucleotides) under Erythranthe guttata (spotted monkey flower). Its description in RNAcentral is "long non-coding RNA (EGUT_LNC000237)". Lineage: Eukaryota; Viridiplantae; Streptophyta; Magnoliopsida; Lamiales; Phrymaceae. The record is from RNAcentral.
CCCACCCCACCGACCACCCAAAUCAACACUUCUUCUCCCCACGCACCUGCCCCACCACCGGCUCAUCUUUCUUUCACCCCGACAUUCGCGUAGUGCAAUUCUCCUCCAAUUUCACUAUUCCUAUGGCAGUGGAUCUGCAAUUUGAACAAAGACGGUGACGGCGGUGCUCGACGGUCCAGAAGGCGGCGGUGGUGCGAGAUCGGCCAGAGAGCGAAGGUGGUGCUCGACGGUCCAGAAGGC